GCCUACGGCCAUACCACCCUGAAAGCGCCUGAUCUCGUCUGAUCUCGGAAGCUAAGCAGGGACGGGCUUGGUUAAUACCUGGAUGGGAGACCGCCUGGGAAUACCAGGUGUUGUAGGCU
Molecule: ribosomal RNA, 119 nt
Organism: Xenopus tropicalis (tropical clawed frog)
Lineage: Eukaryota; Metazoa; Chordata; Amphibia; Anura; Pipidae
Source: Ensembl